UUCCGGUUGAUCCUGCCGGACCCCACUGCUAUCGGGAUAGGACUAAGACAUGCUAGUCGAGCGCGUCAGCCAAAACGACGCGCGGCAUACAGCUCAGUAACACGUGGCUAAUCUGCCCUUGGGACGAGAACAAACCCGGGAAACUGGGGCUAAUUCUCGAUAGAUGAAGAACUCUGGAAUGAGUCUUUAUCAAAAAAGAUUUACGUUAUGCUCGUGAAUCCGCCCAAGGAUGAGGCCGCGACCGAUCAGGUUGUUGGUGAGGUAACGGCUCACCAAGCCUUUUACCGGUGCGGGCCGUGGGAGCGGGAGCCCGGAGAUGGGUACUGAGACAAGGACCCAGGCCCUACGGGGCGCAGCAGUCGCGAAACCUUAGCAAUACACGCAAGUGUGACAGGGCUAUCCCGAGUGCCAUCCGCUGAGGAAGGCUUUUACCCAGUAUAGAAAGCUGGGGGAAUAAGGAGAGGGCAAGUCUGGUGUCAGCCGCCGCGGUAAUACCAGCUCUCCGAGUGGUGUGGAUGUUUAUUGGGCCUAAAGCAUCCUUAGCUGGCUAAGUUAGUCCUUUGUUAAAUCCACCGAAUUAAUCGUUGGGUUGCGAGGGAUACUGCUUGGCUAGGGGACGAGAGAGGCAGACGGUAUUUUCGGGGUAGGGGUGAAAUCCUAUAAUCCCGGGAAGACCACCAGUGGCGAAGGCUGUCUGCUAGAACGCGCCCGACGGUGAGGGAUGAAAGCUGGGGUAGCGAACCGGAUUAGAUACCCGGGUAGUCCCAGCUGUAAACGAUGCAGGCUAGGUGUUUGGACGGCCACGUGCCGUUCUAGUGCCGCAGGGAAGCUGUUAAGCCUGCCGCCUGGGGAGUACGAUCGCAAGAUUGAAACUUAAAGGAAUUGGCGGGGGAGCACCACAAGGGGUGAAGCUUGCGGUUUAAUUGGAUUCAACGCCGGG
Molecule: ribosomal RNA, 940 nt
Filed under: uncultured methanogenic archaeon
Lineage: Archaea; Methanobacteriati; Methanobacteriota
Description: bacterial SSU rRNA
Rfam family: Archaeal small subunit ribosomal RNA
Source: RNAcentral